This is a non-coding RNA of Potamilus streckersoni, 73 nucleotides long. NCBI's taxonomy places the organism in Eukaryota, Metazoa, Mollusca, Bivalvia, Unionida, Unionidae. The record is from the annotation of a GenBank genome assembly.
GCUCCGGUUCCCUAGUGGUUAGAGCGUCUGCCUCGGAUGUGGGAGGUCACGGGUUCAAUCCCCAGUUGAGACU